RNAcentral lists this transfer RNA (75 nucleotides) under Saprospirales bacterium. Its description in RNAcentral is "tRNA-Val". It matches the Rfam family "tRNA". Rfam says of the family: Transfer RNA (tRNA) molecules are approximately 80 nucleotides in length. Their secondary structure includes four short double-helical elements and three loops (D, anti-codon, and T loops). Lineage: Bacteria; Pseudomonadati; Bacteroidota; Saprospiria; Saprospirales. The record is from RNAcentral. RNAcentral also lists the same sequence under 1 other name.
CGGAGCAUAGCUCAGCUGGUUUAGAGCGUGCGCUUCACACGCGCAAGGUCACUGGUUCGAAUCCAGUUGUUCCGA